GCUCGGUUAGCUCAGCGGAAGAGCAUCUGGCCUACACCCAGAACGUCGGGGGUUCGAAUCCCUCACCGAGCA
Molecule: transfer RNA, 72 nt
Filed under: Virus Rctr197k
Lineage: Duplodnaviria; Heunggongvirae; Uroviricota; Caudoviricetes
Description: tRNA-Val
Rfam family: tRNA
About the family: Transfer RNA (tRNA) molecules are approximately 80 nucleotides in length.
Source: RNAcentral